This 852-nucleotide unclassified non-coding RNA is filed under the name Hevea brasiliensis (rubber tree). Lineage: Eukaryota; Viridiplantae; Streptophyta; Magnoliopsida; Malpighiales; Euphorbiaceae. The record is from RNAcentral.
GUCAGGGUUUGGGACGCUGACAAUGUUAGUAGACACGUUCUUCCAUUUUGCCAUUUUAAUUUUUUCUGCCAAUUCUUGCCUUUUCUCUGUUGAUGGGAAAUUUUGAAAUGAAGGUGCGAUCCUGUCCCUUGGUGAGUUUGAAACAUGGUGCACUACACAUUGAUACAUUUCAAUGCAAAAGCAAAGGACAUAGAUUCAAGUUUUGUUGUUCAAAACUAAUUUCUCGUUUAAGAACGAGUAUUGGGAUUUCUGUAAUGCAAAUUAAUUCUUUAAGAAAAUAAUUUGGCAGCCACUUGCCAUUAACACUAGUUUGCAUGUAACGUGUGUUUGAUUGUUUGCAUGUAAUUGUAAAUAUGCCAAAACGUUAUCAUAGGCCAUUCUUAAUGUGGGCAUAAGAGGCUAGAUGUUUCAUCAGUUGAAGCUAGAAUUUUGAAUGUAACAGACUGCAUAUUUUUCUCUGUUGAAGCUAGAAUAAAACCUAAAUCCCUUUGUAGUUAAGAAGUUUUUGGUGAUUGAAUUGAGCAGAAAUUUCUUGAGACAUUGGGGUGAUGAAGAAAAUGCAUGAUUUAAUAGUAAGCAAGAAAACAAUUGUGGAGAAUUGAGUAUUGAUUAUUUGAAUUGCAAUAGGGCCAUUGGUUUACAUGGACUCAGGGAGUAUUAGCAUUUAGUUAUUUGCUUAUGCACCGGUUAUGGUUAUGUAGUGAUAUCAUGCUCUCUGUUGCUCAUUAGAAUUUUCUUAUUGACAAAAUUUGCUGGAUUGCAUAGAUCAAACUAUGCGAUGUUAGUAUUUAUAGUGUGCUUACCUUGUUCUGUGGAAUGGUUAUGCAGCCUAGUUACUCAUUACGCACUUUU